This 253-nucleotide ribosomal RNA is filed under the name uncultured bacterium. Its description in RNAcentral is "partial 16S ribosomal RNA". It matches the Rfam family "Bacterial small subunit ribosomal RNA", at positions 524 to 776 of the family's 1533-position model. The record is from RNAcentral.
UACGUAGGGUGCGAGCGUUAAUCGGAAUUACUGGGCGUAAAGCGUGCGCAGGCGGUUUUGUAAGCCAGAUGUGAAAUCCCCGGGCUUAACCUGGGAAUGGCAUUUGGGACUGCAAGGCUGGAGUGUGGCAGAGGAGACUGGAAUUCCUGGUGUAGCAGUGAAAUGCGUAGAUAUCAGGAGGAAUACCGAUGGCGAAGGCAGGUCUCUGGGCCAACACUGACGCUCAUGCACGAAAGCGUGGGGAGCAAACAGG